UUUUUUUUGCGGGGGGAUAGAGUUUUGCUCUCGUUGCCCAGGCUGGAGUGCAAUGGUGUGAUCUCAGCUCACUGCAACCUCCACCUCCCAGGUACACAAGCGAUUCUCCUGUCUCAGCCUCCCAAGUAGCUCAGAUUACAGGCAUGCACCAUCAUACCUGGCUAAUUUUUUUGUAUUUAGUAGAGAUGGGGUUUCACCAUGUUAGUCAGGCUGGUCGUGAACUCCUGACCUCAGGUGAUCCAUCUGGCUGCUUGAUAUUCUAAGAUUUGAUGCUGGAACUUUGGUGUCAAUGCUCAAAAUGCCCAAAGACACCACUCAACCUCAGUGUCUAUGCACACCCAAGCUUUUGCAGCAGGACAGGUAGAGCAGAGAUGAGUGUGCUACAACAUGCUGGUAGAGGGUACCCCCAAUUGUGCUUGGGGAUUUCCUAUUCCUCAUGGAAAAAUGUGUCUUCCUUAAUUUUUCCCAUAAGAACCACCCUACUUCAUGCCCUGUCUCUCUGUCCAAACACCAGGACAGUCCUCUCACCAGUCUCAACCACCCAAUGGAUUGACAAAGGUGCAAAUAUGAUUCAGUGGAGAAGGCAUUCUCUUGUCAACAAAUUGUGUAGAAACAACUUUUUUUUACACAAUUUGUUUUUUUUAUCCCCAAAGGAAAAAAAUUCACCUGAACCUCAAUACUAACUCAAAAACUAACUCAAAAUGGAUUAUGCAACUAAAUAUAAACUAUAAAACUAGAAAAAGUAUAGCAGAAAAUAUAAGACAAAAUCUUCAUGACACAGAGUUAGGUAAAGUGUUCUUUAUUAUCAAUAAACACAAACCAUUAAAGAAAACAUUGAU
Molecule: long non-coding RNA, 839 nt
Filed under: Homo sapiens (human)
Lineage: Eukaryota; Metazoa; Chordata; Mammalia; Primates; Hominidae
Description: non-protein coding lnc-PDE4DIP-4:1
Source: RNAcentral